CCUACGGGGGGCAGCAGUGAGGAAUAUUGGUCAAUGGGCGCAAGCCUGAACCAGCCAAGUCGCGUGAGGGAUGACGGUCCUAUGGAUUGUAAACCUCUUUUGUCGGGGAGCAAGGCCCGCCACGUGUGGCGGGAAGGAGAGUACCCGCAGAAAAAGCAUCGGCUAACUCCGUGCCAGCAGCCGCGGUAAUACGGAGGAUGCGAGCGUUAUCCGGAUUUAUUGGGUUUAAAGGGUGCGUAGGCGGAAGGUUAAGUCAGCGGUCAAAUGUCGGUGCUCAACACCGGCCUGCCGUUGAAACUGGUCGUCUUGAGUGAGCGAGAAGUAUGCGGAAUGCGUGGUGUAGCGGUGAAAUGCAUAGAUAUCACGCAGAACUCCGAUUGCGAAGGCAGCAUACCGGCGCUCAACUGACGCUGAGGCACGAAAGCGUGGGGAUCGAACAGGAUUAGAUACCCCUGUAGUC
RNAcentral lists this ribosomal RNA (460 nucleotides) under uncultured bacterium. RNAcentral's name for it is "partial 16S ribosomal RNA". It matches the Rfam family "Bacterial small subunit ribosomal RNA", at positions 338 to 795 of the family's 1533-position model. The record is from RNAcentral.